RNAcentral lists this ribosomal RNA (442 nucleotides) under uncultured bacterium. RNAcentral's name for it is "partial 16S ribosomal RNA". It matches the Rfam family "Bacterial small subunit ribosomal RNA", at positions 338 to 795 of the family's 1533-position model. The record is from RNAcentral.
CCUACGGGAGGCUGCAGUGGGGGAUAUUGCACAAUGGGGGAAACCCUGAUGCAGCGACGCCGCGUGGGCGAAGAAGUAUUUCGGUAUGUAAAGCCCUAUCAGCAGGGAAGAAGUACUGACGUUACCUGAGUAAGACGCACCGGCUAAAUACGUGCCAGCCGCAGCGGUAGUACGUAGGGUGCAAGCGUUAUCCGGAUGUACUGGGUGUAAAGGGAGCGCAGGCGGCACGGCAAGCCUGAUGUGAAAGCCCUCGGCCCAACCGUGGGACUGCUUUGGGAACUACCGGGCUGGAGUGCAGGAGAGGUAGGCGGAAUUCCUAGUGUAGCGGUGAAAUGCGUAGAUAUUAGGAGGAACACCAGUGGCGAAGGCGGCCUACUGGACGGUGACUGACGUUGAGGCUCGAAAGCGUGGGGAGCAAACAGGAUUAGAUACCCCAGUAGUC